UACAGAGGUCUCAAGCGUUGUUCGGAUUUACUGGGCGUAAAGAGCGCGCAGGCGGUCGUCCAAGUCGCGUGUGAAAGCCCCCGGCUCAACUGGGGAGGGUCACGCGAUACUGUUCGACUCGAAGGCAGGAGAGGGUAGUGGAAUUCCCGGUGUAGUGGUGAAAUGCGUAGGUAUCGGGAGGAACACCAGUGGCGAAGGCGACUACCUGGCCUGUUCUUGACGCUGAGGCGCGAAAGCUAGGGGAGCAAACGGG
RNAcentral lists this ribosomal RNA (253 nucleotides) under uncultured bacterium. Its description in RNAcentral is "partial 16S ribosomal RNA". It matches the Rfam family "Bacterial small subunit ribosomal RNA", at positions 524 to 776 of the family's 1533-position model. The record is from RNAcentral.